UACAGAGGGUGCGAGCGUUGUCCGGAAUCAUUGGGCGUAAAGCGCGCGUAGGUGGCCACAUAAGUCCGUUGUGAAAGUCAAAGGCUCAACCUUUGAAAGCCGAUGGAUACUGUGUGGCUAGAGUACGGAAGAGGCGAGUGGAAUUCCUGGUGUAGCGGUGGAAUGCGCAGAUAUCAGGAAGAACACCCGUGGCUAAGGCGGCUCUCUAGUACGGUACUGACGCUGAGACGCGAAAGCGUGGGGAGCGAACAGG
This 253-nucleotide ribosomal RNA is filed under the name uncultured bacterium. Its description in RNAcentral is "partial 16S ribosomal RNA". It matches the Rfam family "Bacterial small subunit ribosomal RNA", at positions 524 to 776 of the family's 1533-position model. The record is from RNAcentral.